Molecule: ribosomal RNA, 425 nt
Filed under: uncultured bacterium
Lineage: Bacteria
Description: bacterial SSU rRNA
Rfam family: Bacterial small subunit ribosomal RNA
Source: RNAcentral
UAGGGAAUCUUGCACAAUGGACGAAAGUCUGAUGCAGCGACGCCGCGUGCGGGAUGAAUGCCUUCGGGUUGUAAACCGCUUUCAGCAGGGACGAAAUUGACGGUACCUGCAGAAGAAGCCCCGGCCAACUACGUGCCAGCAGCCGCGGUAAUACGUAGGGGGCAAGCGUUGUCCGGAUUUAUUGGGCGUAAAGAGCUCGUAGGCGGUUCGAUGAGUCGGACGUGAAAUCUCCACGCUCAACGUGGAGGGGCCGUUCGAUACUGUCGUGACUCGAGUCCGGUAGGGGAGUGUGGAAUUCCCGGUGUAGCGGUGAAAUGCGCAGAGAUCGGGAGGAACACCCGUAGCGAAGGCGGCACUCUGGGCCGGUACUGACGCUGAGGAGCGAAAGCGUGGGGAGCAAACAGGAUUAGAUACCCGCGUAGUCC